RNAcentral lists this ribosomal RNA (497 nucleotides) under uncultured bacterium. RNAcentral describes it as "partial 16S ribosomal RNA". It matches the Rfam family "Bacterial small subunit ribosomal RNA", at positions 28 to 507 of the family's 1533-position model. The record is from RNAcentral.
GACGAACGCUGGCGGCGUGCCUAAUACAUGCAAGUUGAGCGAUGAAGCUUGGUGCUUGCACCAAUUUGAAGAGCAGCGAACGGGUGAGUAACGCGUGGGGAAUCUGCCUUUGAGCGGGGGACAACAUUUGGAAACGAAUGCUAAUACCGCAUAACAACUUUAAACAUAAGUUUUAAGUUUGAAAGAUGCAAUUGCAUCACUCAAAGAUGAUCCCGCGUUGUAUUAGCUAGUUGGUGAGGUAAAGGCUCACCAAGGCGAUGAUACAUAGCCGACCUGAGAGGGUGAUCGGCCCAAUUGGGGCUGAGACACGGCCCAAACUCCUACGGGAGGCAGCAGUAGGGAAUCUUCGGCAAUGGACGAAAGUCUGACCGAGCAACGCCGCGUGAGUGAAGAAGGUUUUCGGAUCGUAAAACUCUGUUGGUAGAGAAGAACGUUGGUGAGAGUGGAAAGCUCAUCAAGUGACGGUAACUACCCAGAAAGGGACGGCUAACUACGUG